AUCUUUUGAAAAGGGGCCUCGCUGAGUAUGACACUGAUGCUAAUUAUGGACCGAAUCUCCAGGAUCCAUAAAAGUUCAGUGUCAAACUCGGCGUGAGCCCCGAGACCUGAGGGGGUC
RNAcentral lists this microRNA precursor (117 nucleotides) under Caenorhabditis sp. 23 AD-2012. Lineage: Eukaryota; Metazoa; Nematoda; Chromadorea; Rhabditida; Rhabditidae. The record is from RNAcentral.